GUGGAGGUGACCUGACAAACUUAGGGAAUUUCCAGACAAGACAAACACCGCCAAUCACAAGACAACAAGGGCUGUGACACAAACAUAAGGAUAAAUACUCAUGCAAGGAAGUAGCAAACCUGGAGAGCAUCUCUGCUGAGGCUGGAUCAUAUUGCAGAAAUUGAUGCGACAUCCUGGCAUUCAACUCUCUAAAAACCACUGCGAAGAGGAUAACAUACACUCAGCAUUCCUGGCCAGGAGAAGCAGAAUUAGGAGAGAAGAAAGAUUUGGAACUCCACAGACACUGGGAUCAUGACUUGACUAAUGAUCUUCAAGAUCCCUUCUAACCCAAGCCAUUCUAUGAAUUUAUAAAUCUAUGAUUCUAUGAAUCUAUGAUUCUAUGAUUCUGUGUUUCUGUGACUGCUUACCUUAUGAACCAGCCUCUUCUGAUUGGUCCCAUCUGAUCUCUA
This 449-nucleotide long non-coding RNA is filed under the name Numida meleagris (helmeted guineafowl). RNAcentral's name for it is "lncRNA (ENSNMEG00000009749.1)". Lineage: Eukaryota; Metazoa; Chordata; Aves; Galliformes; Numididae. The record is from RNAcentral.